GCGGGCGUAGUUCAUCGGUAGAAUGAAAGCUUCCCAAGCUUUAGAGGGGGGUUCGACACCCCUCGCCCGCUCCA
RNAcentral lists this transfer RNA (74 nucleotides) under Selenomonadaceae bacterium. Its description in RNAcentral is "tRNA-Gly". It matches the Rfam family "tRNA". From Rfam's summary of the family: Transfer RNA (tRNA) molecules are approximately 80 nucleotides in length. The record is from RNAcentral. Lineage: Bacteria; Bacillati; Bacillota; Negativicutes; Selenomonadales; Selenomonadaceae.